This 401-nucleotide RNase P RNA is filed under the name Tolypothrix brevis GSE-NOS-MK-07-07A. RNAcentral describes it as "RNase P RNA component class A". It matches the Rfam family "Bacterial RNase P class A". From Rfam's summary of the family: Ribonuclease P (RNase P) is a ubiquitous endoribonuclease, found in archaea, bacteria and eukarya as well as chloroplasts and mitochondria. Its best characterised activity is the generation of mature 5'-ends of tRNAs by cleaving the 5'-leader elements of precursor-tRNAs. Cellular RNase Ps are ribonucleoproteins. The record is from RNAcentral. Lineage: Bacteria; Bacillati; Cyanobacteriota; Cyanophyceae; Nostocales; Tolypothrichaceae.
GAGAGUAGGUGCAGGCGGUUGCAGAUCAGUUUCGUUGAAACUGGUUUGAGGAAAGUCCGGACUCCCGAAAGACCAAACUUGCUGGAUAACGUCCAGUGCGAGUGAUCGUGAGGAUAGUGCCACAGAAAGAUACCGCCAAAUAAAGUUAGGAGUUAGGAGUUUUGAAUUCAUCACUCAUAACUAAUUUGGUAAGGGUGCAAAGGUGCGGUAAGAGCGCACCAGCAGCGUUGAGAAGCGCUGGCUCGGUAAACCCCGGUUGGGAGCAAGGCCAGAGGAACUACGGUUGGUCUUUUACCAGUUCCGUUCAAAGAGAGCCGCUAGAGGCGUUUGGUAACAAGCGUCCCAGAUAGAUAACUGCCCUCGCAAGAGAACAGAACCCGGCUUAUGUCCGACUCUCUCCC